RNAcentral lists this ribosomal RNA (407 nucleotides) under uncultured bacterium. RNAcentral's name for it is "partial 16S ribosomal RNA". It matches the Rfam family "Bacterial small subunit ribosomal RNA", at positions 28 to 526 of the family's 1533-position model. The record is from RNAcentral.
GACGAACGCUGGCGGCGUGCCUAAUACAUGCAAGUAGAACGCAGGUGCGAACGGGUGAGUAACGCGUAGGUAACUACCUAUUAGAGGGGGAUAACUCUUGGAAACGAUAGCUAAUACCGCAUACUAGUAGAUGGACCUGCGUUGUAUUGGCUAGUAGGUAGGGUAAUGGCCUACCUAGGCAACGAUACAUAGCCGGCCUGGGAGGGUGGUCGGCCACACUGGGACUGGGACAAGGCCCAGACGCCCACGGGAGGCAGCAGUAGGGAAUCUUCGGCAAUGGGGGGAACCCGGGCCGAGCAACUGCGCGGGAGUGAAGAAGGUUUUCGGGUCGUAAAGCUCUGUUGUUUAGGAAGCGGUACUUAACCAGAAAGGGACGGCUAACUACGUGCCAGCAGCCGCGGUAAUUC